UAUAUAUGGUUAUAGAAAAAUAUCAGUAAAUGAAAAAUUUGCAAAUAAAAGACUUUGAUUUCAUUUUUUAUCAGAGCAAAACAUUAAUAAUUAGCCACUUCGGACAUGUCUGUAAAAUAAAACAAAACAAACGAGACAAUAAACAAACAAAUACAAAUACUGUAACUGCAAGAAAAUAUACUUACAAUAAAAUGCUGUAGUUA
RNAcentral lists this long non-coding RNA (203 nucleotides) under Mytilus galloprovincialis (Mediterranean mussel). Lineage: Eukaryota; Metazoa; Mollusca; Bivalvia; Mytilida; Mytilidae. The record is from RNAcentral.